This 67-nucleotide transfer RNA is filed under the name Marmota monax (woodchuck). It matches the Rfam family "tRNA". From Rfam's summary of the family: Transfer RNA (tRNA) molecules are approximately 80 nucleotides in length. Their secondary structure includes four short double-helical elements and three loops (D, anti-codon, and T loops). Lineage: Eukaryota; Metazoa; Chordata; Mammalia; Rodentia; Sciuridae. The record is from Rfam by way of RNAcentral.
GGUUGUGGCUCAGUGGUGAAGUGCUUGCCUAGCAUGCAUGAGGCACUGGGUUCGAUUCUCAGCACCA